Molecule: microRNA precursor, 76 nt
Filed under: Branchiostoma floridae (Florida lancelet)
Lineage: Eukaryota; Metazoa; Chordata; Leptocardii; Amphioxiformes; Branchiostomatidae
Description: mir-4872 microRNA precursor family
Rfam family: mir-4872 microRNA precursor family
Source: Rfam by way of RNAcentral
UCUCAUGUGGUUUCGGGGUAGCUAAAACUCUGAGUUUUCUCAGCUUCAGAGUUUUGCUACCCCGGCUCUAUGUGGG